This 482-nucleotide ribosomal RNA is filed under the name Thermoprotei archaeon. RNAcentral describes it as "bacterial SSU rRNA". It matches the Rfam family "Archaeal small subunit ribosomal RNA", at positions 1 to 450 of the family's 1478-position model. Lineage: Archaea; Thermoproteati; Thermoproteota; Thermoprotei. The record is from RNAcentral.
UGCGGCGUAACUCCGGUUGAUCCUGCCGGACCCGACUGCUAUCGGGGUGGGGCUAAGCCAUGCAAGUCUCGGGGCCGAGGCAACGGUCGGUCCCGGCGCACGGCUGAGUAACACGUGGCUAACCUACCCUCGGGAGGGGGAUAACCCCGGGAAACUGGGGCUAAUACCCCAUAGGCGCAGACACCUGGAAUGGGUCUGCGCCGAAAAGGUUGCGGCGCCAUGCUCGCCGCAAUCGCCCGAGGAUGGGGCUGCGCCCUAUCAGGUAGUUGGCGGGGUAAAGGCCCGCCAAGCCGAUAACGGGUAGGGGCCGUGAGAGCGGGAGCCCCCAGAUGGGCACUGAGACAAGGGCCCAGGCUCUACGGAGCGCAGCAGGCGCGAAACCUCCGCAAUGCGGGAAACCGUGACGGGGUCACCCCGAGUGCCACCCGCUGAGGGUGGCUUUUCCCCGGUGUAAGAAGCCGGGGGAAUAAGCGGGGGGCAAG